RNAcentral lists this ribosomal RNA (393 nucleotides) under uncultured bacterium. RNAcentral describes it as "partial 16S ribosomal RNA". It matches the Rfam family "Bacterial small subunit ribosomal RNA", at positions 523 to 918 of the family's 1533-position model. The record is from RNAcentral.
AUACGGAGGAUCCGAGCGUUAUCCGGAUUUAUUGGGAUUAAAGGGAGCGUAGGUGGAUUGUUAAGUCAGUUGUGAAAGUUUGCGGCUCAACCGUACAAUUGCAGUUGAUACGGGCAGUCUUGAGUACCGUAGAGGUGGGCGGAAUUCGCUGUGUAGCGGUGAAAUGCUUAGAUAUUACGAAGAACUCCGAUUGCGAAGGCAGCUCACUAGACUGUUACUGACACUGAUGCUCGAAAGUGUGGGUAUCAAACAGGAUUAGAUCCCCUGGUAGUCCACACAGUAAACGAUGAAUACUCGCUGUUUGCGAUAUACAGUAAGCGGCCAAGCGAAAGCAUUAAGUAUUCCACCUGGGGAGUACGCCGGCAACGGUGAAACUUAAAGGAAUUGACGGGG